This 1053-nucleotide unclassified non-coding RNA is filed under the name Owenia fusiformis. RNAcentral's name for it is "dUF4440 domain-containing protein". The record is from RNAcentral. Lineage: Eukaryota; Metazoa; Annelida; Polychaeta; Sabellida; Oweniidae.
UAUUCAUAAAUUACAUGUAAUUAUACAAAAUAUAGCUAACACAUAACAAACACAGUGAUCUCCCCAGAAUUUUUUCUCAGGCUACUGGCACUUCAUGUCGAGGACACUGAUACUGCCAAGCACAGUUAAAGUACACGAAACAAGUUCAACACAGACAAGGAAUACUGCACUAUGGGAGAUAUCAAAGCAUUAGAAGAGAUUGCCCAGGCUAACCAUGAUGAGUUUGACAGAAGAUGGAAUAUUCCAGGAAGAGAUUGGGAUAAGUUUGUUGAGGACAUGUACUCAACAGAUUGCAAAGCCUUUCCUCCAGGAUAUCCUCCUGCUUUCACUAGACAAGCCAUUGCUGCAGUGUUUAAGACCUUCCAUGAAAGGCAUCAAUUGCAUAGCAAAGUACAUGAGGUGGUGAAGAUAGGGGAAGACUCCUUCCUGGCGACAUAUUUCAUCAAGUGUACAAUAGAUGGCAAGCAGGUUGACCAACUCACAACCGUUGAAGUAUGGCGCAAGGAGAAUGGACAAUGGCGAUUGCACAGAGAUUCUUGGAACAGUGACUUCCCACCACCAACAACAUCUGAUAAUAAAAGCUGAGAACAACAUCCAAGAAACAUUGAGGACAUAACAGUCAUGCACAUGAAAGGACUUCAGAAAUCUAUAUUAUGAAGAUUAGUAUAUCUAGUACUGCCACAAACAUCAGAGCGAGAACAACGAUACUUUUGGAACAGAGACUUUAUAUCAUAUACAAUGUACUACUAUGUAUUAUUUGAUAAUCAAUGAGGCUUAAAGGUUUGACCUAAAUCCUGUGGAUGCCCAUUUUAUUGACACAACACCCAGAAAUAUUGAAGAUAAUAAUACUGCAAAGUGGAAUUAUUGUCCAAUUUAUCAGAUUUCACCUUUGAAAACAGAUAUUUGGAACUACCUCCUCAUGUUCAGAUAUUUAUGGGAAUUUAUUAUUUUCACAUUAAAAUCUCUUGCCAACUUGCUAUUGUAAUCUGGAAUAAAUUAAAUCAAUAAAUAUAUAGUGUGUAUAUAAAAAACAUUGAGGAGUUCCCUUGUUAA